RNAcentral lists this long non-coding RNA (379 nucleotides) under Elaeis guineensis (African oil palm). Its description in RNAcentral is "long non-coding RNA (EGUI_LNC034565)". The record is from RNAcentral. Lineage: Eukaryota; Viridiplantae; Streptophyta; Magnoliopsida; Arecales; Arecaceae.
AGCAUACCUCAGGCUAUGCAGUCAAGAUCUUCGAUGUGUAAGGUAUCCACACCAUCUGAUCGUCACGCUACUGGUCAAGCUGAUCCUCAUAGUAUAUGACUAUGUAGCACUGGAUUGCUUGCACCAGUCAAUCGAGUCCUCCAUCUCUCCUAAACAAAGUCAAUAUGUUAUUGUGUGAAAACGUAUAGUCAUUUAUCAUAAAAAAUCAAUGCUACUGAUUAUAUACUUGCAUCCCAGUAGAUCGGUCUGGUCGUGCUGUAUCCCGUCAAAUAGACCCUCAAAAUCAGCAUCAUCUUCAUCUAACGGAUCAUGUCCUACUGCAUCAUCUCCCGACGUCGGCUGGUGGGUUGCUAUUCUGGGGAGCACCCUAUUUGGCCAU